This 253-nucleotide ribosomal RNA is filed under the name uncultured bacterium. RNAcentral's name for it is "partial 16S ribosomal RNA". It matches the Rfam family "Bacterial small subunit ribosomal RNA", at positions 524 to 776 of the family's 1533-position model. The record is from RNAcentral.
UACGGGGGGGGCAAGCGUUGUUCGGAAUUACUGGGCGUAAAGGGCUCGUAGGCGGCCAACUAAGUCAGACGUGAAAUCCCUCGGCUUAACCGGGGAACUGCGUCUGAUACUGGAUGGCUUGAGAUUGGGAGAGGGAUGCGGAAUUCCAGGUGUAGCGGUGAAAUGCGUAGAUAUCUGGAGGAACACCGGUGGCGAAGGCGGCAUCCUGGACCGGUAUUGACGCUGAGGUGCGAAAGCGUGGGGAGCAAACAGG